CCUACGGGAGGCAGCAGUGAGGAAUAUUGGACAAUGCACGCAAGUCUGAACCAGCCAUGCCGCGUGCAGGAAGACGGCUCUAUGAGUUUUAAACUGCUUUUGUACGAGGGUAAAUCCCGAUACGUGUAUCGGGUUGAAAGUAUCGUACGAAUAAGGAUCGGCUAACUCCGUGCCAGCCGCCGCGGUAAUACGGAGGAUUCAAGCGUUAUUCGGAUUUAGUGGGUUUAAAGGGUGCGUAGGCGGUUCGAUAAGUUAGAGGUGAAAUCCCGGGGCUCAACUCCGGCACUGCCUCUGAUACUGUCCAGCUAGAGUUUAGUUGCGGUAGGCAGAAUGUAUGGUGUAGCGGUGAAAUGCAUAGAGAUGAUACAGAACACCGAUUGCGAAGGCAGCUUACCAAACUACGACUGACGUUGAGGCACGAAAGCGUGGGGAGCAAACAGGAGUAGAUACCCGAGUAGUC
Molecule: ribosomal RNA, 460 nt
Filed under: uncultured bacterium
Lineage: Bacteria
Description: partial 16S ribosomal RNA
Rfam family: Bacterial small subunit ribosomal RNA
Source: RNAcentral